UGAGAAAAAGAGAAUGGCGAUGCUGCUGUGGUUGCACUAGUCGGAUAGCAUUAGGUGAGGAAGCGCAGUCUGUAUGAAUCCAGAAACCACAAGCAGUGCACAGAUACGACGGAGACGAUAGCCCUUCAUGUUGCGUUCCACACGCGCUGCAUCUGAAGGCAGCCCGGCCCCUUAUAACCGCUGUCAACCUGUGCUCGUGGCUCCUGUGCAAGAUUUUGAUCUGCAAACUACACAACAAGUCGAGUCGAAAAUCACAAGAAGGAUCAAGACAUUGAUAGAACAUACUCCCGCAUGUUUUACUACAUUCACGGCAAGAUUGUGAUGAUGAUGAAUCCCAGUUUUCCUUGAGCAUGAGGGGCGCGCCGGGGUGAAACGCAUUAUCCAUCAAUUUCUUGGGGAGAUUAGCGCAUUGAUCGUGCAGGAGCACUUGACCGUGUCUGGUGUUGAUUGUGGUGAAGGGCGUGGAGAAGAUUGGGAGCGUACAAGCACUGCACAUCCAAGAAUUUCCAUCAUCUGGAUCUAUGCCGUUUUCUUCAAUACUCAUUCUAGUGUGAUCUCUAAAUGUGUUACGCCAUAAACGCAUUUUGUCUCUUCUACACAAACACAGAGUAUAACCAAUAUGAUUACUAUAAUUUUGAUAUGGUGAUAUACUACCAAAACCACAACCCAAGAUAAGAAUAAUAAAGUAAUUCACUUCUUAAUUUAUCAUUUUCAUCCAUCUAAAAAAGGAAUACCUAAACCUCAGCGCAAGAUAAGAAUGAAGUAGCAUAAUUUCCCAAGCACUAAUAAUGAGGUAUACAAAGGUGUGCUACCGAAACCCCAGCGCGAGAUAAGAAUAAAGUAGAUAUAUAAUUCCCCAAACAGACAAACACGAAUCUAUACCUAUCAUAAAAGAGCCUUGUUUUACAAAAUUUGAUUUGCCUAUUAUAUCCCUCAUAUAUACUUAGUUUAAGGUUAAUUGUAUAAUUUAAUAUAUUAUACAUAUAAUAAAUCUAAAAAUGCAUUAUAUUUUACGUUAUAUAUUUUAAUAAUUAUUUAAGUAAUACUAUUCAUUAGAACUCUUCAUCCACAUCCAUUACAAUUUUUUAUUUAAUAAAUUUAUAAUUACAUUACGAAUGAUUUAGUUAUUAAUUUUAUUAGAAGUUUAAUUUUGCUAGAACCUUUGGAAUUAUAAUUAAUUAUGCAAAGAUUAAAUAAAAUAAUUUUAUAUUAAUUUUUUUCAAUAUUAUGAGUAUUAAUCAUAAUUUUCAAACAUGGUCCAAUAAUUGGUUCAGAAAAUAUAUUAAAAUUAUAAAUGUUACUAUAAAACAAAUUAAAUUAAAUUAAAUAUAUAAAUUUACGCUCAUAAAGUAGUUAUUAAGAUAGUUCCUUUUAACGUGCGAAUGCACGUCAUUUCCGCUAGUAAUUAUAAAAGGGCAUUGUUUUACAAAAUUUGAUUUGUCUCUUAUAUCCUCAUAUAUUAUUCUCAAUUUAAGGUCAAUCGUGUAAUUUAAUAUAUUAUAUAUAUAAUAAAUCUAAAAAUAUAUUAUGAUUUAUGCUUAUAUUUUAAUAAUUAUUUAAAUAGUAGUAUCCAUUAAAACUCUACAUUCAUUAUUUUUUAUUCUAUUAAUUAAAAAAUUUAGUAUUACAAUAUAAAGAUUUGUUUAAUAAUUUUAUUGGAAAUUUAUAUCAAUCUUCUCUUUUUGGACUUUUUUUUUUCUUUCUAACGGUGAAAAUAUUAGUUUAUGCUUAAUUAGUUAAUUAAAAUUAUUCCAAUCAGUAAUUACAUUGAAGGUUUGAGUCAAUCAGUUUACAUAUAUGAGUGUGAUGUAACUCAUAAUUUUUUUUUUACUUCUUAACUUAUAAUUUACAUAAAUAACAUUAGCAUAUUAUCCUUGUUUUUUUUGAAGAACACUGAAUAUAUGUACAGUGAUCAUUGAUUUUUCUACAAAACUGACACCAUAGAAACAUUAAAAACUAUAGAAAAAGUGAGUGCUUUAUAAUUUUGAAGUUGAGGGAGGGGGGGAAGAGUAGCGUGGAUAUGGAAGAGGGGCCCGGGAUAACUCUUCCUAGUGCGAGCUAAUUGCUAAAAUUAAUUAAUUGGAAUUUUGGUGACACCUAAAGCCCGUCGCUGAUGUGGUCGUGCCAUGUCGUCUUUUUGGUAAAUUUUUUUUAACUUUUUUGUAUUAUCGACUUUUUAGCACAUUUUAGCCUAAUAUAAAUAUUUAAUUUAAAAUUUAUUUAUUUUUAGUUAGAAUUUUCUAAUUAGAACUGAUUAAUUAAUUUAACUAAAACAUAAAUAAAUAAAUAAAUAAAUAAGAAGAGGAGGAGCACUAUGUUGAAAUAAGAAUAUUAUUUGUACGAAUUUCUUUGUAUUAUUCUUGAGACAAUUUAACAUAAUUGAUGUGUUAAAUAAUUUAAUUUUUUAUAAAUAUGGAGUGUAAAACAUAUUUUUAAAAAAGAAGUAAUUUUUAAAAAAUGGGAAAAUUAUUGUUUUUAUUUAUUUUAGGCUCAAAUGUGCUAAAAAAAUAGAUAAUACAAAAAAGGAAGAAAAUUUGCCAAAAAGGUGACAUGGCACGACGCGCCAAGUUAGCAAUGGGCUUUAGGUACGGUGUCACUAAAAGCCCAAAUAAUUGAUUUUGGGUCCGAAAUAUGAGUGUAAAAAUAAAACUAUAGUCCUCAUUCUGAAAUACCGAAAGCUACAGUCAUGUUUUAACAAUUAGCUCUCCCAGGGCUCAUCCACUGAAAUCUAUCCAUGUAAAAUUUUGAUUUUGAUCUGAUAUCGAUCACCUUGCAAAUUUGGAUAUGUAAGAAGUAAACAGAACCUGCUUCAUAUUAUGAUUCACAUAUAUAAAAGAAAACAUAAUUUGUUAUUGCUUCAUAAGUUGUAUAAAAAUUAUUCUGAUACAUCAUUGUGUGUAAUGAGUUGUAAAAUUAUUCUGAUACAUCAACACCUGAAUACAGUAAACUUGCAACUAAAUUUAUUACAACAAUUAGACGGUGUGGUUUCUAUUUUCUCAUGCAAUCAUAUUUAUGUCACGCAAGCAUAUUCAUGUCCAACGAAUCGGUGUGCAAAAUGAGAAUUUAUCAAAAGUUAAAAUAAUUUAUGUCAAAUUAACCCGGUCAUUUUUUGUAAGUUUCUUGCUUUGAUGAAGACCGUAUUUUCUUUAUUAUUUCCUUCAUAUUGAAUUCAUGAGGUCAUAAAGUCAAGAAUUUAAUUUAAUCAAUUACGUGUUUGAUUGAGUCAAGAAGAUCAAAACGUUCUAGCUAGUUGCUGUUUGAAGAUAGGUAUAAUUGAUAGAUUAGAUUCUGAGUUUUUUCGUGGCUUGUUUGGCUAGGCAAUCUGUUGCUUGCUUGGCUUCUCCCUUUCUCGUCCUUUGCCUUUUUCUUAUUGUCUGUAAUAUACUAAUACUCUUUUUUUUCUCUUUCGCGGUUUUUUUUUUCUCCAUUUAAUUUUUUCUAAAAAGGUUUUGAUGAGACUCGGGCUUAGAUAGCAUUCGUUGGGCAGACAUGGGUUCUUAGAUUUUUUUCUUUACUUUUUUCUCUAAUAAAUCCCCACUUUAUAUAAUAAAUAAUUGACAGAUUAAUUAGAGUUUUAGUUCUUAAAUGUUGACACCUUAUACGGAUGAUAAAAUGCUUUCAUUCCAAUUAGUAAUUGAAGGUUUGAGUCAACCAGUAUACAUAUAUGAGUGUGAGUUGUAAAUUAUAUUAAAAUAAUUUUUAACUUCUUUACUUAUAAUUUACCUAAAUAAAUAACAUUAGUAUGUUAUACUUAAUUAAUUUAUUUAUCUUUUUUUGAAGGACACUGAAUAUAUGUAAAUUGAUAAUUGAUUUUUUUGUAUAAAAUUGACGUCAUAAGAACAAUUAAAAUUAUAGGAAAAUGAGUGUUAUCACCGCAUUGAUCUAGUGCUUCUGAGUUUGAAGUUCAGGGAGGGAAAUCCAAUUGGAUUUUCUCAAUUGAUUUCUUUCUCAAUUGAGAAAUCAUAGGCAUCGACGGGAAAUCCAAUUGUAUUUCUCAAUUGAUUUCUCCAUGUAAAAUUUUGAUCAUUUUGAGUUGAUCACCUCGCAAAUUUGGAUAUGUAAGAAGUAAACUAACAGAACCUGCUUCAUAUAAUGAUUCACAUAUAUAAAGGAAAACAUAAUUUGUAACGUUUCAUAUAUAAAAGAACAAGCUGUAUACACAUUAUUCUGAUACAUCACUGUCUGUAAUGAGAGGCUGCAUCAACACCUGAAUACAAUAAACUUGCAACUAAAAUGUGGAUAUGAAGAAACUUGUUAUUUCUUUGAAACAGCUAAAGUUUAUCACGGAAUCUCAGACAUGGCGCAGGUCUCAUGUAUCUUAUAACAACACUUGGAGCAUUCAUAGCCGAUGUUCAUUCCUUUUCUCAUACCUGAUGAAUUGACUUCAAUCAGUCGCAGUACCUGCAAGUGUACUCUCUCGACACCAGUGAGGGGGCAGUCAUGGCAUUUGAAACCAACACUACCCCAAACUUGACCCUAGAAAACGACGAUCAGAAAGGGAAUGUAGUUGAUGUGAAGCCACUGCUCGCAGUCGUUGCAGCUGUAGUUCCAGCACCUUUUAUCGAUAUCCUCUUCACAAACCUCACAAAUUUGUUGGGUAUCAUCAUCAUCAUCAUCGGUGGUUAACUUAGUUGAGGUGGUUAGGUUGAGAGGGUGUGCAUCAAAUUUGUGGCUAAUGGUAGUGGGAAGCAAAGCGCAGCGAGCAUGUAGUUUUAGAUGACGACAAUUGCUGCACUUAUAGAACAUUCUAUUUGCAAAGUCGUUGCAGCAGCUACACGUGCCUGAGUAACGCGACAUGUAAAGAAUGUGCGUCUUCCCGUGAGAGGCGUGGGUGAUUGAGGCAGGCAUUAGUGCGCACAAAACAUCCAUGCUGACGUCUUUGCAAGUUUUGCAGCAGUAGGCGAAUCCAGAGCACAGCAUCCAGCAACCAUGGCAGAAGAAGCCUUCAUCAUAAUUUUUUCUGGGUGCUUUUGUGAAGAGGGAAAGGGUGUGGUCUGGAUGAAAGGGGUGCUUGAUUUUGGGUGGAAGAUUGAAACAAGAGUCGUGGAGAAGAAAAUCCGGACAUUGGGAACAGCUGUAGAAUGGAGGGGAAAUGAACUGAACACACGCAUUGCAUACACGGGAUGAAGAAUGCCCUGUGCCAUCAUCGUCGUCUUCAUCAUCAGCUUCACCACUAUCCUCUUCAUCAUGAAAGAUCGACGGAUGUUUAUGUAAUCUUUGAUCAUAUCCGUAUUUGGGAUUACCAACCUCCUCCUCCUCAUAGUCAUAAUCACCAUAUUCUUCUUUAUGAUGACGAAAGAUUACUGGAAGUUGAUGUCCAUCUACGGAAUCAGCAUCCUCAUAUUCUCCAGCAGCAUCAGUAUUCUCCAACAUAUAGCGCACGAUGCUUGUGCGUUCAUCUGGCAUCGGAAGAUGGAGCAGGUUGGCCAGCUUUGCAUCUCGAAUUAACACUGCAAAUUAAAACAUCAGUUUGAUUAAUAUAAUGAAUUAAUCACACACAUAUACAUAGGUUAUUUUUCCAACCUGACUCAAAACAGCGAGGAUCCGAUGUUGCACACCUAAUAUGAGCAAAAUAGCUACACUUGAAACAGAAAUAAGCACCCACGCUAUACAACAAGAUCCUUUCUCCACAGAAUGCACAUUUGCAAUCUCGAUCAUGAAAAGCAUGCAUAAUAUUAUAGGUGAGAAAAAGAGAAUGCUGAUGCUGCGGCCGUUGCACUAGUCGGAUAGCAUUAGGUGAGGAAGCGCAAUCUUUAUGAAUCCAGAAACCACAAGGAGUGCACAGAUACGACGGAGACAAUAGGCCUUCAUGUUGCGUUCCACACGCGCUGCAUCUGAAGGCAGCCGGGCCCCUUAUAACCGCUGUCAACCUGUGCUCGUGGCUCCUGUGCAAGAUUUUGAUCUGCAAACUGCACAACACGUCGAGUUGAACAUCACAAGAAAAAUCAAGACAUUGAUAGAACAUACUCCCGCAUUUUUCACUACAUCCAUCGCAAAAUUCUGUUGAUGGUGAAUCCCAGUUUUCCUUGAGCACGAGGGGCCCGCCGGGGUGAAACGCAUUAUCCAUCAAAAUCUUGGGGAGAUUAGCGCAUUGAUCGUGCAGGAGUGCUUGACCGUGUUUGGUGUUGAUUCUGUUGAAGGGCGUGGAGAAGAUUGGGAGCGUACAAGCACUGCACAUCCAAGAAUUUCCAUCGUCUGGAUCAACGCCGUUUUCUUCACUCCUUAUUUUAGUGUGAGACGACAACACGAAUUUAAAACUUCGUAUCAU
Molecule: long non-coding RNA, 6268 nt
Filed under: Salvia miltiorrhiza (redroot sage)
Lineage: Eukaryota; Viridiplantae; Streptophyta; Magnoliopsida; Lamiales; Lamiaceae
Description: long non-coding RNA (SMIL_LNC004816)
Source: RNAcentral